GCAGGCUUACACAUGCAAGUCGAGGGGUAACAGAGGGUGCUUGCACUUUGCUGACGACCGGCGCACGGGUGCGUAACGCGUAUGCAACCUACCUUCUACAGGGGGAUAGCCCAGAGAGAUUUGGAAUAAUACCCCAUACGAUCAUUGAUUGGCAUCGAUCAAUGAGGAAAACUCCGGUGGUAGAAGAUGGGCAUGCGUCCUAUUAGUUAGUUGGUGAGGUAACGGCUCACCAAGACGUCGAUAGGUAGGGGCCCUGAGAGGGGGAUCCCCCACACUGGUACUGAGACACGGACCAGACUCCUACGGGAGGCAGCAGUGAGGAAUAUUGGACAAUGGGGGCAACCCUGAUCCAGCCAUGCCGCGUGCAGGAAGACUGCCCUAUGGGUUGUAAACUGCUUUUAUACAGGAAGAAACUGUGCUACGUGUA
RNAcentral lists this ribosomal RNA (427 nucleotides) under uncultured bacterium. RNAcentral describes it as "bacterial SSU rRNA". It matches the Rfam family "Bacterial small subunit ribosomal RNA", at positions 42 to 464 of the family's 1533-position model. The record is from RNAcentral.